Molecule: long non-coding RNA, 23252 nt
Organism: Gallus gallus (chicken)
Lineage: Eukaryota; Metazoa; Chordata; Aves; Galliformes; Phasianidae
Exons: 3
Source: RefSeq, a predicted model, not a curated record
GGAGGAAAAUGCAUUUAUAAUCUUUUAUGAUAUUGUGUCAAAGAAUGAUGCUUAUUGCACUGCUCCUGAGCUUCAAGCAACAUGUUAGGAUUUUCCUUCACUAGAAUGUUAAUGCAUGUGAAAAUCUAAAGUCAGUGUGUGGAAAGAACAAAUGCAAUGUUGAAGUUGUGUGUUCAGGUAAGGCAAAAUCAAAUUUGCUUUUUUAAUGUCUCAACAAUGUUAUAUACAGUCAUAACUGGACCUGAAAAGAAAUCUUAUUCCUGCAACAGGCUGCUGACAUCAUUAUGUGCUGCCAAAUUCUUGUGCCCUUGUACGUUUAGCCUCAGUCUGCAUGGCUGUUCUGCAGACAUGGGAACCACUAUGGGAUAUUUUCCUUUUGUGGGAGUUCUUGCAGGUCGCCUGAAGUGGAGGGAGAUUCUGAAGGAUUGUUGUGGCUAUAGGAACGCUUACAAUUUAGUUUUAUUUUCAACUAGACAGAUAAUGUUAUUUUUCUCCUUUAUUUACAACAGAAGCCCUAUAGUUAUGAAUCAAAGUUCAUUACUGUCAGUAAACCCGUGGAAGGCUAGUAGAAGGAGUUAUUAACUUUUUAAUCAACAUUUUCUUUAAGUAAAAUAUACACAUGAGUGAAGUAGCAGAGAUACACUGAGCCAUGACUUGGUGAAGCCUCACACGUGGGGAUUCUGGAGGAAAACUUCUCCAGCGUUCCACGCUUGAAGCUGCAGGAGAGCUAGGGAGGCUCAUGGGGCUCCUAGUGGCUGCUAGUCCCUUGCCCAUCUUUGGUUUCCUUAGAGGAGAGGACAACAUCAUGGCCGAAAUAUGGAUUGCGAUGCAGAUCCAUGCUGCAGGAUUCAAAAUUUCCCCAAAUCAGAAACACUAGACACUCUUAAAAUGACUUUAUAAGUCUUAUUUUCUUACCUCAUUUUAACCUCCAUAAAGCUUUAAUACCUCCUAGCAUAAACUACAGUGUGCAUUCAGGGGCACCCACAUCCUGAUCCAAGAUAAGAAAUUGGGUCUAUGACAAAUAAAUAGGCAAUAACUCUUAUUGCCUAAUCAAAAUAUUCGGAGCUUUUACAUUUUGCAAGGUUGACUUGCCAAAGGCUUCCUCAAACUGCACAUGCUGCUGCUUUGUCUUGCUUUUAUGCUUUAUUGAAUUCCAUUAAAAGACAAACAAAUCUCACAGUCAUUAGGCACCUCGCUGACAACACCUGUCAGUCUGUCACUCCGAGUCACAGGCAGCUACCUUGGAGCUUCAUUUGGCAGAAUUAGGAGGAAAAUAGAAAGAAACAUAUCUGGGGCACCUGUUCUCUGCAAUGGAGUGAUGCGAUUAUUAUUACCAAAAGUGAACUCAAUGUGCUACUUAAAGAAGGUGGAUGACAGGUACUGUUGCAAGCCAGUUGCGCUAAUCAAUGCUGUUCAUCAUGUUCAUGGAUUUUCAAACAUUUUUCUGAUUUCUUUAACUGGAAGAAGGCAUCCACAUUGCUAGUGUUCAGUUAUUCACACCUUGGAAACAUGCACACAGAUUAAAACACAAAGGUACACUCUUCAGCCAUUAGUUGGCAGUCACCUAGAUUGUGUUUGUGACCAGAGUCAUUCUCUCUACCUUUCUUAAAAAUAUCACACCCAUUUUUAGGAAGGGUAGAAAGGAUGACCCAGAGAACUACCAACCUGUCAGCCACACCCCAGCGCCAGGGAAUAUAAUGGAGCAGAUUCUCCUGGAAGCUAUGCUGAGGCAUUUAGAAGAGUGGGAGAGGGUAUGGGACAACUAGCAUGGCUUCAUCAAGGGCAAGUCCUACCUGACCAACCUAGUGGCUUUCUGUGAAGGCCUAACUACAUCAAUGGAUGAGGGAAGAGCCACUGUUGUCAUCUAUCUGGACUUCAGUAAGACCUUUGAUGUGGUCCCCACCACAUUCUUCUCUCUCAAUUGGAACGAUAUGGAUUUGUCAAGUAGGCUGUUUGAUGGAAGAGAACAUGGUUUGAUUGAAUAGCACCUGAUUGCAAGGUCAUACCCAGAGAGUGGUGAUCAAUGGAUCAAUGUAAGGAUUGAGAUCAGUGAUGAGUAGUGUCUCUCAGUGUCAUUAAAGGGACUGGUGCUCAUUAAUAUCUUCAUCAAUGACAACAACAGUGAAAUUGAGUGCACCUCCAGCAAGUCUGCAGAUGACAUCAAGCUGUGUGGUGCAGUCAUCAUGCCUGAGGGAUGGGAUGCGAUCCUGAGAAAACUAUACAGGCUUGAGCAGUGGGCCUAGAUGAAACUCAUGAGUAACAAGUGCUACUUUAAUCCCCAGAGAUUUCAUUUGCUUUAGAAGAGCUAUUAAGAGGAUUGUGGAAAUUUCCAUUGUAAGACAUUUUGCUCCAAGAUGGAAGGGGUUAUUAUUGUACAAAGUGCGUACAGAGGGAAAGCAUCUCUUCUGCAGAGGUAAAAGAUUAAAGGGUUUGAAAGCAAACAGUACAGAUACUUUUUCGUGAAAGAUUUGCAGGAGCUGUAAGUAUCUGGUUUUGUUGGUCUCCUAACUGACGUUGUUCCAACAAUUACUACUUAGUGACCUGCAUGUUCAAUGAAGCCUUGUGGUUUUGUCUUCUGCUUCCAGUUAAAACUUUCCUUGGUUUCAGUCUCAUUUUUAUUUUGGGUUAUAGGAUAUAAAAUGGAAGAGAUUUCCAGUGAGUCUGCAUUACCUUAGUUUCACUGAAAAUCUAUUGCCUAUCUCUGCAGCUCCUUGAUGCCACUGAGCAAUGACAUCUAUGUUUGUUUGUUUGUUUUUAUGAAAAUUGGAGCAUUCCAAGUCAUUCUGAUCUUACUAAUGGGAAAACAGGGCAAUAUCCAAUGCUUUAUGAAAUCUAUCAGUUAUGAAUAAGUAAAAUUAGGGAAUAACUUACAUGCAUACAAAGUGAAAGGAGAUAGUAUGCAGAGUAUGGAGAAACAACAAAGAAGUUGCAUCAGAAUAGAGCACAUGCUAUUUGACUUGUUUUUGUACAUGUGGAUCUAAAAUUGAAAUUUCUUCCUUUCUUUCCACUAAUUAUCUGUUAUAGAUCUAUUACAAGUAGUCCUGACAUACAUAUAUCUUCAGGACCACAGCAUUUCUAUUAUUCUUUAUGUAUUUAAUUAGGGAUGAAGAAACUCAGUAAUGUGUAUGGCUGGAUGCCAUCAGCAGUCUGGAAUGGACUUAACCUGGCUCACCUUUAUCAAAGCCAAAGGUAUACUGAGUGAUAACUUCCUUGAAAGCAGAUGAGGCUCCUGUGGCAUGGUCUCUGCAUGCUUAUCCUGCCAUCCCUUUCUAGCCUUGUAUUAUAAUAGAAAACUGCUUUGUGCUGUCAUCAUCACACUUCCAUGCCUGCUGAAUGUCCAGAUCGGUUUGCUUCCUAAGUAUUGCUUGGGUUGGCUGAGCCAUCACGAUGUGAGUUAGCAAAGAUAAUAAAAACCAUCCAGCUUGAGGAUAGCACAGUGGCUCUGGAAUUGAAAAAUAAUCCAUCUCUGCACUCAGUACAACUUCUGCAAAGAACACUGAAAACUUUAUUAUUUAAUCUCAUCUGUUCCGUUGUUGGUAUACAAACCACUUGUACACCGUUCCAUUCAUUGCAUCCCAGACAAUGGGAUGUGUUUUGCUUUUCCAGACAAUUUCAUGUUAUUGUUCUUUCUCUAUAUUCAUUCUGAAUUUCCUUUACUUUUUUCAGUUUAUUUUUAAUUUUCUCAUGCAAAAUGAUACCUGUGAUGAAGCCACUGAUGUGGUGAAUCCCUUCCUGUUGGGUGCUACCCAUGGCAGACUCUAAUGUUCUGUGUGAGCCCAGGGAGGGUCUCUACAUCUUAGCUUUAGUAGCUUGGUUGGCAAAUAUGAGCUGAGUUGCUGAGAUGAGAAAAAAUAACAGUUAAAGCUCUUUUCUUUUAAUUAGCAUCUGCCAGGCUAAUUCCUGCCGCUCAUUCCUGAGCUCCUUUGUCUCCACGAAGCAUUGCGCUCUCUCCCAGGGUGAGGUGCCAAUUUUCCAGGGGUAUUGUUGUUGACCUGAAAUGAAGGUGGAUGCGACUCUAAGUGCUGUUUCUUUACAAGAAAGGUGCCUUUGUGUCUGAAUGAAAACAUCAGCAUUACAUGGCUCUUUCAGUGGAGUUUCGCCUGUUGAUCCUGUAUUAUUGGGAGCAGAAUACCGGCUCUGCAGAGGGAAUAAAGGCUUGCUGUGGUCAUAAAAGAUGAGAUGGCUGUGGGAGCUUGGAAACCAAUGGAGACGUGCUCCUGAUGCAAAAGUCUCUGAAAUCAGAGGAAGCCUUUCUAUUUAUUUCCAUGGGUCUUGGUCCAAAUCCCUUGGUAAAAGCACCAGGCUGCCCGUAAUCACAGGCUGGUGGCUAUGACAAUCUGAAGCAAAAAUAUGAGUGGCUGUACAAGGAAUGGGAUCAUGGAUGAUUCAGUGGAAAACCUUUGUGCUGAGGAAUGGUCUUACCCCAAAAUAUCUGACAGUGGUCAUCAGGAUACCUUAUGGCUUGAAAAUCUGCAAGUACUGAAUAGCCUUUUCAUAUUUUUUUUGUUUGUAUUUGUUUUCUUUUAGUAUUUCACAAACCUGAAAUUUAAAAAAAUGUAACCAGUGGUAUGAUGUGAAAAGGGGCUGUGAAGAUAAUAUCUUCUAAUCAGUUACUGUGAAUGAUCUGAAUGUCAUGAGUAGACCUCCGUCCUGGCAUCUGCGUCAGUUGCUAUCCUGUCCUUUUUCUGGAAAAGAAUUUAAUACUAACCUGUAUGCACUGGGAGGAGGGAAAGCUUUCCAGUAGUUUAAGUACUUCCCUGAAAAUAAGCAAGUGGUGAGAUUGCCUUGCAAGAUGGUUUGUGCCAUACAUGGAUUUCUUAAAAAAGCAGUGGUAACAUUCAUGGUAAUGGAUGUUAUGUCCAUGUGUGUGCAUGUACAGCAUCUGCAGGCACUUCUGUUGAAACAGAGCCUGAUGUGGAACACAAAUGAAGGCUGCAUGCAGGUCAGUAGGGAUUCUUCUACUCAGUAUAAGGAGAAAAGACUAGCCACCAAGAAUUGUACGUGUUCAAAGGGGGCUGUGAGAGCAUAGGCAUUUUUGGGUUUGGUUUUGACACAGUAGGAAAUAAAACAUGUUUUUAAGGUUGUCUUAAGGUUGUAUUUUGGCAAAAUGAGGAAAAGGGAAUGGGAUAAUUUUGGAUUGUCUAGAGAAUAUGCUUCAAUCUCUAAUUACAAUAUUGAGCUCUGAUUUGUAUUUUACUUUUUAAAAAUCUCUUUCUGUUUUAAAAUGUAGCUAAAUUAUUAUGUAUCAGAACUGUUCUGAUUUACCAUUAGAAACAUUUUGAGAUUGAAUACUUCAUCUUUUCAGCAUUUUUAACUUAGCUCAGCUUUGCCUUUCCAGGAAACCUGGCCUCAAUACCUGAAUAGCUCUCCAUCAUAAACCUAUCAUUUUCCCACAAACGUGCACUUUGCAGCUCCUUCUGCCUUCCACUGACUCCUUCCAGCAAACUGAAAACUUGACACAACUGUGCUUGUAUGGAGAUGCAGUCCUGGUGCCACAGGGAGAGGAAUGGGAACAACGAUGACCAGCACAACCACACCUGCAUCCAACUGGAAGGAUCUGGGUGCAAGUGGGGUUUACGGCAGCUACGCGAGGCAUUUCCAUGGCACGCAGGAGCUGAGUAUUUUGCUGAAAAUGGAUGUGGAAAAUCUCCCCUGAAAUGCAGUGUGUGAACACGAGGUGGCACUUGGGUCUCGUGGAUGGAGGAACAGACAGCCCAGAACCACAUCCUGCGCAAAAGGAGAGAAUUUUAUUGAUGAGCUGAAAAAAAAUGCUGUUGGCAUAAUGUAUGGACUCUACUUGUUUUUUUAAUGCACGCUCUUUCUACUUAGGAUAGGAGUGCUGCUUGGCUGAAUGCACGAAUGUUAGUUAAUGUUGUGCAGUUCCUAUAGUGAAAGAAUGUAUUGGAACUUCAGGAUAUAUGUGCUGCAGUCGGUGUCACCCCUUAUGCACUGGGAAGGUAUUCUAGAUGUAAUUAACUCGAGUCCGCUCUUUUGGGUUUCCAUCUGCAGUCAUCAGCUGUGUGCAGAUUUGGUGUGGGUUUUCCUUUCUGGUUCGAUCCAAAUUCUGAUUUUUUGGAUCAGGUUCAGCACAAUUAUUUUGCAGCAAUGGGAGCCCUCAGUGGGCUUUUUGCUAGAGCCCCUCCAGGAAGGGGCUUUGCCAGACACACAUUGGCCUCCUGCUGGAGCCGAAGGACUUAACACAAAGCUGCAGAGUUUGUGUGAGAUGCACAUAAAACAUGCUUGAAAGAAGAAAUUCAGCCACAGAACAAUGUUUAAAAGGUGCAUUCAAAAUCUCUCUGUUUCAGAAGAACAUGGCAGAAGCUGUGUCUUGUGCUAUGCGAAGGAUGUUUAGUAAGUUAACUUGAAAAGUCCACAGCAGCCUGCAAAACCUAGGACAGAAAUGCCGAACAUUUACCUCCACCCAAUUUAAAUAAAUCAAGCUUUCAGUUACAAAAUAAUAAACUCAGUCUCAAAGAUUUUAUUCCAGAAGAGGAGAAGGAAUUUCACAUUAGCACUGAGCUCUGAUGGGACACGCUCAUCCAUUACAAUAAAAGCACGUAGAUUUAUGAUAAAUGUAAGCUCAAAAAUGGAAAUGCCAGAAUCAAAAAUUGCUGUGAGACUGCUGCUCCCUGAAUAUGAUCUGAUUGUGCUGUAAACUUGAUUGUGCUGUAACUUUCAAACAAUUAUGAAAACAUUUACAUGCUUUUAUUAGCACUUGUAAAUUAUGCGGGGCUUUUUAAUGUGCAGUCAUAAGCAAGAGGAAAGCCUAAACACACAGUAGAAAUCUUCUGAAGGAAGAAAUUGCAAUGGUCUUUCACUUAAUUAAUGUCACAUUUAGUAGCACAGUAUUUUCAGCAAAGAUUUAGCAUGGAAGGAGAUGAAAAUUGCACACAGAAUCUCAUAGAAUUGUAGAGGUUAGAAGGGACCCCUGCGGAUCACUGAAUGGCUGGGACAGAACUGCAGCAAAAGCAUUAUUGGUCAAAGAAGAAAACAGUUUGGGAAAAGGCAGUGGGGUCGUGUAUGGAGGUUCUGAGUCUUGGUGUCUUUGCUGGUGUUUGCUUCCUUUUGUGGCUCAAAAAUCUCAGCCUUGGCUAAUUUGGUGACAAUCACUACUAACUCCCAUAAGGACAGGAUUUGAUGCUAAACUCUGAAGUGGCUUCAUUUUUGGGUAGUGCAUUUUAUUAAUUCAAAUGACAAUUUUGCCUGGGUUUUGCACCUAGCCCCAAACUUAGGGGGUGUCGUGGAAGAGCUUGACAUAUCUUAAAACUGGUGGAAGUGGGCUGUGUUAUGUAUGAAGUUAUUUGACUGGCCUCUGCAGAGAGCAGGAUCUUCUCUGCCCAAGAAGUCAGCACACACAAACCUGCACAUGCAAUUGCUGUAAAGGAGAAAAUCCUUAGUGAAAGGAUAAGCUACUUUGGAAAUAGCUGAGUCCAAGCAAAGACUGCAAAAGAAAGGUGAAGACGUUUAAAUCACAGGCGUAGGCUUCUCCUUUCUAAUGCAGAAUAGCAACUGAACGCAUUUAAAUAAAAAAUGAUUUGCUGUGAAUGGCUUUCGUUUUCUGCUGGGUGGUGCUGGAGGUGGGCAGGUGAGAUGGGAAGUAGGGACCAUGGGUCAGAGCUCCUGUCUAAAGGUUAGGCGGUCUCUGGGUCCACAGAGUGGCUGCGGGCAGCUAUCAGGUGCUCAGACAAGCAGAAUAAAGACUGUAAGCAAGUAAAAAGAGAAAAAAGUCACCAAGUAUUUAUCAUGCAUAAGGCCAACUUCAACCUGUCAAGAGAAAUAAUUGCAAAAUGAUCCAGUAGCACCCGACUUGCUGAGAUCUGCAUCGGCUCUAACUGGGAAGUAAAUAAUACAGUGAGUUUAAUGGUCUCAGUUACUUGAAUUCAAAUGUUAAUUUAAUGAAAUAACUUAGCUGUCAUAAAUGCCAAAACAUGCCAUUAUCGUACAAUCAUACCUAAGUAACAGCUGAGCAUGCUUUACCCACAUGACUAAUCUGUUUCCCCAUGAUCAGUUACCUGGAGCUGUGAUGCUGUUGAUUUCUGAGGUGCUAUAGGGACACUCAGCUCAGCACUGAGCUCUGUCUGCAAUAACCGUACAAUUUCUCCUCUGUUUGCAGAAGCAGAUCCUCAGAAGGCAAGGUCUACUCUUGGAAAAUGUUUUGUGCUGGCUUUGAUGCAAUGUUCUGUUUUCUCUUUUCAUUUUUCUUAGAAAUACUAAAAAAACUGACCAAAUUAUAGCCUAUGGCAUGCGGUAACAUUUGCAAUGAGAGACUCCAAAGUUCCUCAGACGCAUCCUUUGUGAUGGUUUUAAUAGUCAUUAACAUUAGGUUCGGUUAUCUGUAAGAAGGACCCCUCUUGGUGCUAGUUAGCAGAAAGCUCUGAGCUUCCUGAUGGCCAAGCAGAACUUCCCCUGAAUGGCUCGAGAAUGGGUGCCUCAGCAGGAAGGCAAAGAGUUUGCAGAAGUUCCCAUUUUUUCCCCCCAAAUCUAUGAACUACUUUUCAGUCACAUAUUUGUGCUGACGUGGAGAGUCAAUCCUCGAUGCUGCAAGUCUGAAAACUCAUGAUGGGGGGAAAUAUUUGAAACCAUUAAUCUGCUUAUAGAUAAGCAAAGGUUGAAUUUGGUUUCAAGCAAAGAGAUUAAUGGGUAUUAUACAAAGUAAUGUAAAGUUAUCAGGGUGAGAUUUUACUAUCAGUAAUGACAAUGUUUUUUUUCUCACAGUAUGAAAAAGAUGUAAAAAAUAACAUUUUGGAAAUGAAGUACUGUAUGUGGUAGCAGCUUGGAUUCUCCAGCAGGGGAGCUUUUAUAUCCCCUUAAAUGAAUCUGUUUAUGUUAAUUUUGCUGUCCCGGGACAAGAUCCUCAGAGGAUGUCAGUAAGCAGAGCUCCAUCAGCAUUGAUGAGAUAAUGCAGUUUAUGCAGAAAAAAUUUCCUUGUAAACGUGCUUUAUUUUAAAACAUUGCAUCAACCACUUAAGGUGGGCAGUGGCAUCUCCAGAUGUUGACGCUGACCUUGGUCCUGCACUAAGCAAUGCCUGCAGAUGCCGACCUCCCCAUGGCAGGAGGUCACACUGUGACUGAGCUUUUGGUUUCGUCCUCUUUUUGGCUUCCAAGUCUUCAGGUCACUGUCUGAGAUUUAUUAAAAUGUGUGCUAAAUUGUGCGAAGCUCUGGCUAAUUAUGAUGUACUGAUUAAUUUCAGUAGACAAGUAUGGCAGUUCUAAUGAAUAUUAAUAUUUUUUAGGCUGGUAAGAGGAGCAAGCUUUCUGCAUGGGCAGCCAGUGUGGCAGAGCACUACAGGGAGAUCAACAUCUCCUUGGUGGUGCCCGGUGAGACUUUUAAGUCCUGUUUGCAUCAUUGACUUUGCCAUUGCAGAACGUAAACUGUGAACAGCUACAGACGUUAUGAAUUUUUCCUGCUAAUUAGAAUCCCCCCAAAACCAACACCACCCGAAGAAAGGAAAAAUAAUGUAGUGCUGUAUUUCUGUUUGACUUCACCCACUAUGUAGUAUGAACAACAUGUUACUUACUGGGAGCUAAGCAAUGAGAUUACAAUUAAAUGACUUUUAGGUAGAACAACAGAUUCAUAUAGUAAUUUGGAAUUUAAUGCAGAUGCAGCAUCCUCACAAAUUUGUAUGUAUGGACUACUUUGCUUGCUAGAAGGUAUGAAUGUGGACAUCCCAGAGCCCUGCCAUGGCCAAGCACUAGGCAAUAUUGUGACUUCACUCAAAUGUAGUGAUAUUAGUGAAGAAGGUCUUUUUUUCAAGCUGACAACUCAAUCAUGAGUAAAAAAAAAAAAAAAUUCUGUUUAGCUAAAUUGAGAAGGGAAAUUUUUGGCUUCAAGGAUUUUUGAAACUCAUGGCAUGGAGGUGAAGACUUAAGAUCAGUAAUCAUGGAAGUUGUUCAGGGUCACAUCCAUAGGUGUUGUGCCUAACAGGAGAAAAGUGUUUGGGCUUUGAAUUUUGAGGGAACAUAGAUAAUCUUAUACAUUUUUUUUUCUGUGCGUUCAUUAUACAAGGCUUUGACACAUUCUUGGUAAACUGUUGUCAAUUUUAUAUUUUUCAGUCUUUGAAAAGAAAUGGGUACAUGAUUGGGUCACUGUAACCACUGAAGUACAUGGUAGUUGAAUAAGGAAAACCUAGGUUUUAAUAGGAAAACAAACUUUUCUUCUUUUCUAUAUCAUCUCUUUUCCCAAGGUCAGAGCCCUGGGGUGCCCUUUGGUGCCUCAAAGCUCUGGGGGAGGUGAUUUCAGUAGGAUGGCCACACCUGAAGAUUGCCUUUUGUUCUUUGUUUUCAUGCAUGGUGACUUUUGCAGGUAGUAGAUCCCUUGUGAUUGGAGGUAAUGGUUAAGAUGGUGGAAGGAGCUGGAAUGUGCGAUCUUUGUAAGGAAUGAAGCUGGGAAGAAGCAGCAUAAAGAGGAGUGCAAUGCAGAGGGAAAGUGCAUUUGGGUUUGUGGGAUGGUUUCUUGGAAGCAUCUUUCCCAGCUCAGCACAGAAAAAAUAAAUCUUAGAUUUCACUGCUGAGUGGCAGAGGAAACAGAAAAAAACCAAACCUAGAUCCUGGAGCUCUCCAAUCUGAGCAUGGAGAUAAUUCACAGCAGUGCUCAACACGUGUUUUCUUGACAAAUGCACCUCAAGAUACAGCCAAAAGUUCAUUUGGAGUGGUUGUUGUCUGAAGGUCACUGAAAAACCUGCUGCAAUUUGCUGAGGUUCUUUUGCAGAUCAGGAUGGUGUUUGGGGUGACAGAGCUGGUGCCUGUGACUUGUUCUGUCUUCUGGAACUCCAGCGGAUUUUAUCUGUACCAGAAUUACCCUAGACGUUUUCAUACAAUGAUGUGCAUGUCAGGUAAAUGCUGUUGGCAUGAUUUUGAAGCAUGCAGUCAUGUUUAAGAUGAUAUUCCCUGUCAUCAUCAGAAAGGUGCGCAAUGGAAAAAGACAGAAACGGCCUCACCUGAACUCGCAGCUUCCUUCUCAAAUAACCUUUAAUUACAUAAAACUGCAUGAGUGAAGCUUGCUCAGGUGGAAUCGCUGUCCUUUUCUCAAAAUUUUGGUAUAGAUCAGUACAACCCUAUGGAAGCCAGUAGAAUCACGUAGAAGCAGCUGGCAGACAGCCCAGCAUCGUGUUCGAAGCAUCUAUUUUGAUAGCAGACUGCCAUGGUCGAAAAAGUUUUUUUUUUUUUUUUAAAGAAUAUAUUGACUGCAAAAGCUCUUCUCUUCUGGAAAAAAUCACAUGAGAUUAUAUUAGAGGAAAUUUAAUUAAAUCACCUGAAAUCCUACAAAAGUUCUAAUCCCAGGCCUAUCAAUUUGCUUCUAAAAUUGUCCAUAAAUCUCCUUGGUAGUCAAUUUUAUAAUUCCUAGAAGACAAAAUAAAAAAUGAAUGAGAAGUAAAAUAGGCAAAGGAUUAGGAGUUUUUUUUUUUUCUUAAGGCAGAAAGCUGACCAUGAAUUUCAUUAAUCCUGCUUAAUAUCCUACCUUGACAUUCAUGGUAAGAACUUCACAUUCGUCUACGAUGAAAAAGGAUACAGAAAUGGGGAAAAGAAAUGAAAGGUUGCUAUAGUUGCUUUUAUAAUGUAUGUGGAACAUACUGUCACCUGUAUUGGUUCUAACAACAGCAAGAGAGAUGAAACAACUGGGGGAUGCAGUCCAGUGGAUACAGUUAUGUGCCAGGACAACAUUUCUUGUGGGGGGUGAAAAGUGGUAUUACUGUAAUUGCCACAGCUGAAAUUUAGAGUGUUCUGCUGUUUUUAAACUGAGAUGGACUCAGGGAAUUUGGAAACAAAUUACAGGUUUGCAAAUGUGUCAGAAUGCAGUUUUCUCUGUUAGAGAAUAUGGUCCGUAUAGGGAUAUUUAACAGGAUAACAAGCAGGAUCUUAAAUCUACAAAAUGUGCUGCCGUAUAUGAUUGCAGCAACGCUUAUCAUAAAAGAACAUUUGGGAUGAAUUUCUUAUCCCUCCUGGGCUUUCCCCUUUGACUUGCUGAGUCUUUUGGUCAGAGCAAUGGUAAGUGAGAGGGGCUUUUUAGUGAAACAACCCAAACAACCCACCUCGUCCUGAGAUGAAAAAGAUAUUGCUGUGUGUGAGUGCCAUGAAAUUCUUUAUGAUGAGAGUGGUGAGGCACUGGAUUCUAUGAUUUGAUGUUAUUUUCCACAAAAAAAUGUGUUUUUUUUUCUUUCUUCAUGAAAAUCACAGUAUCACUUGUAUAUGAUUUCCGUUAAUUUAAAUGUCUGUACAUAGGCAGUAAGGAGGUUAGACCUUGCUGCACUGAGGAACAACACAGAGAGAUAAAAACAACCUGUUCUUAGCAGCCUUAAUGUUUCAAAUUGCCACCUGAAACAAUGAAAAUCAGCUUGAAAAGCACAUGCAAACUUUUCCUAGCAACUCUAGUGCAAAAACCCAGUCACGAAGGGUUAGGCUGGGACAUGGGGGACAUGGGGGCAUGGGGGACAUGGGGGACAAACUCCCAAGGUUUCCACCUGGAAGCUGCAGAACUCCUCAGCUCCUUUAGGGAGUGAUCCUUGGCAAUACCUGCAAUGGUAGUACUUUGUCUUCCCAUCGGGAUGUGAUCACCAAUCACAUGUUGGUUUGCCAUGAAGGUAAGCAAUCCUUUAUCACUCUUGGUGUUUUGAUUCUGGAAAUACUUUGUGGGUUGGAUACAGCAAGGCUGGGACACUCCAGCUGCCUCUCAGUAUCCAUAACCACAAUUAAGCUUUUCUAUGGAGCCAGAUGGAUGAAACAGCGGUGCCCAUCCAGAAUCGCUGGCGCAUCCUGCUGCUUCAAGCAGUACAUGAGGCACAAUAAAACCCUCAAAUCAGCUGUUUUUUUGGGCACCCAUGCCCAGUGGUUUGGUGCAGAGGAAUCUGCUGCAUUCAUCACACUGGCUGAGCCUUCUGGUGAAAGGUUGUCUGCCCCUGUCACCAAUUCUGUCUGUUGAAAGUGCACUGGGAGCACUGGUUCAUUGAGCUUGCUGGGAAAGCAAUUGAAUAACACUCUUUUCUAUACCUCCAGAAGGAAAUCCCAUCACUGUGUGGAAAGCAGGAGAGUCAACGAUAAGCCCGCACAUUUGUUUAUUGGACAUCCAGAUAAGGAUGAUAAAUCACUACCUUAGUUUUCCUUUUCAGAAUUGAAAUUGCAGAGAUGACAACCUCCCCCUCUUUCGGAGAUGAUUACUAUGAGGAGAGGGAACUCUACCUGCUUGAUUAAAUGCAACAUUGAUAUAGAUUAUCCCAGCUGUGAGAGAUUUUCAGAUUAUGAUCUUCUUAUUGCUAUCGAUUACUUCUUUUUUUUUUUUUUUUCCUUUCCUUAGAUUUGGUACAUACUUCAACAGCCAGCAUGGAGAAAAUCAAACCCAUUGGCUGCAGUGGUUCCCCUCUCUUUUGUCCAGCUCUCCACCUUGAGCUCAACAGCCACCGGUUUGAGUCCCUUCCACAAAACAGGGUCAGCUCAUGUGGUGCAGCACGGGCAGGGCUGGUGCACUGGGAAGCUUUGAUGUUGAGCGAAGUUAUUUCUGUCCCUAUUCAGAACUUCCUUUGUUUUAGCUAGGCAAAGCUCCUGCUGGAGACAAUGGGACUUUAUGGCACCCAGAAUGUUAAAUAGGGCUCACGCUGAGUGAAACUGCAGCUAGCUUUGUAUUCCAGUCCAUAGCUGGAUGCAACUGAUAUUAUCAGAAGUAUAAAAGAGUGUUCUUUCAAUUACAUGCUUGGUUUUUUUUUUUUUUUUUAAAAAGAGCGUCUAGCUCAAGUAUUAGCAUUUUUCUAUAUCCCUUGCAGUAGGUAGCCGUGCCAUAUUGUGUGCAACAGGGGUGCCUGCGAUCUCAUCACCUCUCCCUGGGUCCGCUGAAGUCAUUGCCACACAGCUUGCUGGAACAGCCUUGCAGAUAUUUGCUGACAAACCUUUUCAGUAUAAUCCUUUAUUAUCUAACCGCAGUCAAGAGCCUACUUCACAUGAAAUAUUUUCUGCUACAGAUGGCAAAGCCUGAGACUGAGCCAAGCCCAGUGCAAAAAUACAUUUAUAUCCAUGCAGAAGCCCUCAGCCAGCCAGCCAGCUUCCUCCAUUUGUCAUGUGCAAGCGGUAUCCUGCAUGGCGUUUCAGAUUCAUUAGAGGGCCAAAUGGACAAAACUGUCAUGUUUCUUAUUAAAAUGUCAUAAUCACACUGCGCAUAAUAAACAUGUUUGUGUGCAUUGAAGAACAAAAGAGGGUUGUGAACCGUAGGUUUAGGUUAUCUAUUGCAUUCCAUCAUCAGAUGUCUUGCUAGCUCAUUACUUUUUACAGCUCUUUUUUUUACAGGCAAACUUUAAAGGCUUUCCUUCAUCCUUCUAAAGCAGAUCUGGGACUACAGGUUGGGAAUUUAGAAUACUAAAAAUGAACGUUUUUCUUUCUUCACAGGAGAAUGAAAGAGAGGGGUGUGCUAUGGGGGGGCAGUUCCCUUCCGUUGCCUCCUGCUGUGAACCCAGCAAGCAGGCUGGGAUUUCUCCUGGGGCUCUGGGGAUAUGGAGAUCAGGGCAUGAGCUGCCAGCUUCAUGGACACCUCUCUGGGUAGCCCAAAGGGGCAAUUAAAGCCAGAAGCCUGGGUUCAACAGAGGUAACCAGAGUGAUGAGAAAGCAGUUUUGCAUAAUUAGGAAAAUACCAGCAAACCUUUCUUUUGGAUGUGACAUUUUACAUUCUUGUAAUUGUUUUGAUGAAAGAGGGAAAUAAAGGGUGUUAUGCAUGCAAAGCUAGAAUGUUAUCCUCAUUGUAGGGGGAGGCGAGCAUACAUGGUGACUCCUGUGCAUAGAAAUGUUAGAUGACCAAGUGCAAGAAACAUGCCAUUUGCGUGGCAAGAGGGAAAUAAGUGACAGAAAGCCAGAAUUGCACGUUUUGCCCCACCGAACUCUCAUUCUGUUUCUGCUGCUCAGGGUUUAGGCACCCACCAGCUCAUCAUCUCUGUCUCUCUGUCAAAAAUGCCACCAAGAUGCUGCACUGAGUUUUUUUGCUCAGGAUAAGGCAUUUUACUGAACAAAGUCCGUCAAGGUAGGAAGAAACAGUGGCUUUAUUUAACAGCUUCCAGAAAAUGCCUGGUAUUCAUUGACAAAACCCUGCAGGCACGGAUCCAUAUAGCUCAGCUCUGUGUACUGAUGUUGAAGGAGCAGCAGCUCCCCAUGGCAUCAGUCCUGCUGCUGUACCUGUAGGGUGGUGGGGCUUUGUGCUGGCAGUGUCAGGGAUAAGGGCUCAGUUUAUUCAGUGCUAUGUUGCAUUUAGAAAUACUGCAGGAGUUGAACUCCACGAGCCCUAGGAGCCCCUUGCAGCUCAGGAUAUUCUAUGAUUCUUUGAAUGCUCCCUGUUUUUGGGAAAUUUCUUUAGUAUUGGAGCUGUUUGAUUGAUUCAUCAGCGGAGAAUGGAUGAAAUAUGCUUUUCUGAGAUUUUUCUGUGAUAAAAAUUAGAACGUAAGCCAAAGAGCUUUAUCAGUGUCUCUGUAUGGGCAGUUUGUGGCACCUCCAGCAGGGACCAUCUCUCCUGGAUGGCUUUGGCUGUGGAGCUGUAGCUACAGCCUGUGGGGUAGCACAGGGCCGAGGCACACCAUGAGCCGUUCAGCUGAGCGCUAAUAGCUUAGCAUUAAGCUGCCUGGCUAUGGAAGAUAUCAAUGUUUUAAUUUUUCAUGCUGAUUUGUGUUUGAAACGUUCAGUAUGAGUCUGUGUUCCAGAGGUGGAAACCUGAGGGAUAUUUCAGCUCCAUUUUGUUCUGAAGGAAUUUAUAAACAUCAUUUCCAGCAUUUGAAGAGUUGGCUCAAAUUCUCUCACUUGUGCCCUUAGUUCUCAGAGAUUAUAAUUAAAAUGAACGGUCAAAAUCUCUUCUGCUCUUAUUCCUUGAAAAUAUGCUUCCAGGUGAAAAUACCUCUGGGCUCAGCAGGCAAUAUUUAGGCAUCAGUUCAUAGCCUAUUACGGUACAUGAUGGACUUCUGUAUUUUCUGUUGAAAGUCUGACAGUUCUGCAAUUAUGUCUUCUUAUCAGCCAGACCUUCUUGGGAAGCAAUGUAGUGAAACAAAGUAAAAGAAACUGAGGUAAAACAAAUUUUCUUUAGCUUUGCCUGUGUUUUGAUGAAGUCCGAAGUAGGUCGGGUUCCUUAUAGCUGAAUAACAUUGACCCUUUACAACAGCCAGAGAUGUCUGGCUCAAUAUUCAAUCACUGUGUUACCUUCCCUUCUUUCUCUGACAAUACGAUCCCAUUACCACUCAUAGAAAGUCUGUAUGUAAGAUCACUAUUGCUGCUCAUCUUCAAGUUUGCUUGUAAAAUCAGUAUCUUGUAUCUCUAAAGGUAAGAUGCUACAGGCUGUUGUCUUGGUCUAACUCACAGAAAUGUACUUGUGUGGUUAGUUAUGCAUGCAGAUUCAUAUUUUCAAAAAAAUGCCUGUUUGAUCUUAGAUUAAAAUACAGAUACUAACUUUUGCCCAACUUUUCUGCCAGUUUCUUGGCUGCACUGUUUCAUCGGGGUAAGUCUAAGAAUAUCACUGAGUAUUUUUCUGAAAAAGAGACAACACUGAAGUAUUGCCUGCUUAAUCUAAAGCUCAAAAUAUAUCCCUGCUGAAACCUCCUGCACAGCAAAUAAAUAUUUAAUGAACAGUGGUUCUGUCUUUUGACACAAUAUUAAUAACUCCAGAGAAGCUCUGCCGGACUUCAGAUACUGAUGAGACCUGUAAUUUGUCUUCACUUAUGAUGAAGAAGAUAUUUUAUUUCCCUUUUUGAUGCGUGUAUAUGGGUAUACUGCAUACACUGGUUUUCCUUACAAAACAAAACAAAACACACACACAUUACAAUUAAAAUAAUUUUAAUUGAUUGUAACCAAUAGUGCACUGGAAUGAACUGGUUGCUCCCUUCAAAGCCCACCAUGGGCAAGAAUCCCAUCCUAUUACUACUUCUGUAAAUCCCAUGUGAGGAAGUCUAUGAAGACUUGUGUUCAUAUGGAUCUAGGUGUAGGUGUAUCUGUUCUUAAAGUCCAGACUGUGGCCAGUAGUCUAAUCCCAUCCAUGACCUGGUCUAUAAUCUUUACUCAGCUGUUUCGAUAGCAGCUAUUGGCAUUCUGGUGUUGAGGCAGCUGAAGGUUUUCCACCUUUCUCAGAACGAUUGGAGUUUGCACUUCGAGCCGUUAUUUAAAGCACUGUUUCUUUAUUUAAGAAACAAACACAAGAAGAGUGGAACAAUAGAUUCUGGCAACAAUAAAUUAUAGUACAACAGUGUUACUGCUCUUAGUGCUGCGCCUUUUGUGGUCCACUUUAUUUAACAAGAUUAUCUCUGCUUUUCCAUCUGUAUUUACUUGUUAAGGCUGCUUAUGUGUAAAUAAACUCUGUCAGGGGCCACCCUGCAAGGAGGCAGCUCUGGCAUUUGUAUUGCACCAGCUGUGGCUGGGAAGAAGUGCUCCCUGCUUGUCUAAUGAUAAGUCAUCAAUUAUACAUCAGAUAUUACCUAAACUUAAGUUAAUGUUGCAUAUAGCAUAGGUCCUAGUAAAGACAAGACACUGUGAUACGCAUUGGUUAGAGGACUUUUAGGGAUGAGCAUUAAAUUGAUGCUGGCUGUGAGAAAUGGGAUAUUUAAUUUAUUGUAUAGCUCAGCAUUUAUUGUUGCGUUGGAAACGAAGGUAGGGUUUACUCUAAGCUUUAAUUAUGGUGAGAGAAGUUAGGCAGUGUUAUAGAUAAUGAACCAACUACACUUCCAUCUCCAGUUCAUAUUAUUAAUUUAGAGAGGAUGUCACUUAAAAAAAAUGCCAAUGCUUUACAUAUUUUAGACCCCUAUCUUCUGAACUCAAGCCUGUUCAUGCACAUACCCACAGAGCAAAGGAACUGAAGUCCGAAGCACGUUCCUCCUCCUGAGACAGACCAAAAACCAAGAAUCAUGGAGGGAUUUUUGACUUUUUUUUUAAUGAGUUGGGGAUGCUGGGUGUUUCAGCCUAUUUCCUCAGUCUCGUAUAGCCAUGAUUAGGACAAAGUUGUCCUGUGUGACUCAGAGAGGGCUGCAGAUGCGCUCAGCCGCUCAAAAGCUCAAUAUGCUCUGUAUUUAAGAUGAAAAAGUGAAGGUAACUCCACAGAGUUUAAAGUCACGAAGCAACAGCAAUAAAUAAAACCUGUUUUGAAUAUACAAGGGCGACACAGAGAUACCCUCUAGAUAUAGAUGUGCCACUUUUCUACGCUCCUCAGCUCUCGCAUGCCUCUUUGAGAAAACAGGCUCUGAAAACAAGCUUCUGGAUCUGCUCAUAGGGACGAGGAAAUAGCACUGCUCAGAUCCCUCUGAAUGAGAAUAAAUAAUGUGCAAAUGCCAAAUCAGCCUGCAGUGCACAUCUUCCCACGGAAAAUCACUGGCGCUCCUCUGCUAACUCAGCUUAAACUGUAGGUUUUAGGGUCCGCAUUGCUGGCUGUCAAUUAGAAGUGAGACAUUAGCUGAUUAAACUGUUUUUGCUGUGUAUGGUCUCUGGAAAGGAGCAGCUUCAUCAGGUUGCACUGCUUCUUUAUGAUUUCUCUCCGAGGAACACAAAGUGUGCUCUUCCCUUCGCUUGCCUGUUUAACCAUUUGUGUAACAGAAGAAGUGAACUGUGUUUAGAUAGAGUUAUAAAGGCAGUCCAAAUAAAAUCCUGAGCAAAAUAUUGUUAUACUCCUAUCAUAUUUGUCUUUUUUCUCUUCUCCCUUGGUUUCAAUUGCAGAACUGCUUUGGAGAUGCUCACUUUUGCUUCUGUUUCUCUGAUAACAGCAUUGGUCCUGCAGAGCAUCCCUCCCAUCAGGAGGCAGGAGUGGGACUUGGCUGCCUUCAAAGGGACAAAGGCUUUGUCCAAAACUCAUGCAGGAGACUUUGGAAACACUCCCCAUUGGCUUCUCUCUUCCCAUUGGCUGGCAGGGUAAGAAAUUAAAAGAAAAAAAUAAAACCAUAUACUUCAAGAUUUUAAAUAACCCAUCUCUUUAGCAAUACUCAUUACUGACUGGAAGAAAAACCCCACAGCAAACCAGAGCAUCUCCCACCCCCCAAGGAACAGUCCAGAAGGUUGGGUUCAGUUGAUUGUGCACCAAGGUUGUAGUGGGAAGUGCAAACAGCCCUGGAAGCUCUGGGUCUGUAACAGGAACACUGGUAGGAUACCAACUACUGAGGUGCCUCCAGGAACCAUAACAGACACAACCAAUGGGAUGUCACAGCGCUUCAUCCUUCCCAGCCUGCUGCAAGGCUGACAGGUAUAAUGACGACUGAUCAUGGUCUUUGCACAUUAUGUGUGCAGUUUCAACCCAUAAGGGAUGAAAGCAGAGCUUGUGCUUUUGUACAUAGGGCCAGCUGGCACCUUCUUCUUUCGAAGGGGUUAGCUGGAAGACUUGUGUGUUUAGGUAUGCAGAAGGAGUAAAGGCAUAAAUACCCAAUGCCAAGAGUUGACAUCCUCCAGUUGUAAGUCCUUCAGAGAGAGUGCCAAGUCAUGCUGUGACAUUAUUAAUAUUUUGAUGUAUUUCAUUUCUUUUUCUUCACUCUAAAAGGUAAACAGAACUUUAACUAUAAAUCAUCUAACACAUGAAUUUUAGUAAGUUUGUGAAUAUUAGUUUUAUUUCUUAAGUGAUUAAUUUUUUCAAUAGCUUUUUUUUUUUUUUUAAACCUUCAUGUUAAUGAAUUCUAGUAUCAAAAUGGAAACACUGAUUUUGUUUUUUAAACUGUAUUUCAAGAGUGGUCAUACUGGGAAAAAAAAUCUGAACAGUCAGAAAUGAUGCAUAAAAUUCGAAGCGCUCAUCUGUUAGUCAUUUUAUCCAAGAGAAACAAGGCCAAAUUCAUAGACAAUGUGCAGUUGUGUUACACAGAGUUAUGCUAAAUCAUAAGCACACAAAUAUCACAUCCUUUGUAUUUCUCAGCUUCUAGGUAUAGAAAUCUUGCAAGAUCAAUAGCAUUUAUCAGGUCACCGAAGAAAAGAUGAUAGAAAGUAGGCAGUCGUGCCUUUAUUAGGUCGCUUAAACUGAAUGAUAAUAGUUUUUAAAGUAAGUGUAGAGCUUUAGUAUAUAGAUCUCAUAAAACCUGGCAGUAUAUAAAGAUGUAUGAUGCUUUUGUUGUUAAUUACAUUUUUCAGCUUUGCUCAAGAAAAAAUAUGGUCUUUCUUUAAGUUGUUUCUGACUCCACAUUUCAACUUUGGGAACAGAUACAAGAUUUUCUCCUCUGGGAAAUGUGCAAUUGUAGAAAUUUCUGUUAUUUUUAAUAUUUUUGUGGAAGAUAAAUACUCCUGCCUGCUAAACCAGCACAGGAGCUCUUUCUAUUUAGCAAAUGCUGGUUGUCAGCCUCCCAGUGCAAUAAUCUUCCUGUUAGAGAGUGGGGUGAAUUGAUGCUUGUCAUAGAGAGAAAUUCUGCAGGAUUUCCCUACAUCCUGAUGCUUGCUAUCCAUCCCCAUGCCAGAAUCAUGUGUGAGCAGUGAGCAGCACAUACUGCUGACAAGAAAAUGUUGCCCUGGAAUUCAGUCCUGGUUUCUCUUUCUAACUCUACCACCCUAACCUCAAACACACAGUGUAAGUGAAAGCAACAUAACUUCACACGUGUGAACUUCAUGACUAUCCCUUAAAAAUGCAAAAUCCAAAUGAAAGGAAUUUUACCUUAGGAUAGCUGAUGUUAUAUUCUAAAUGUGAUUGGAACGGGGUUGUACUAGGAAGUUCAUUCCUUCCAUAGAGGAGAUCCAAUGUCUGGAUCUGGUUUCUGGUUGAAAUAGCAACCUGUCCACCCUCCUAAGAUGUCCCAACAUUUUACUUAAAGUUUAAAUUCUUUGGGCACUGAAAAAAACCCAAAUCCUGCUUCUUGUGCUUCUUGUGCUGCUGUGCCACAUUGUGGACUGAGCACGCAGCCUAAACAUGGAUUUGGUUUUGUUGUUUUGAGCCUUGAAAAAAAAGAACUGCGUGCCCGAGCACUGUUGAUCUAUUUCAGUUGGUUUCCUAUUUCCUUAUGAUUAUGAAUAUUUUCCAAAAACUGAAUAAUCAAUGGCAUUUGGCAUCUGCUGCGAAAACGCAGCCUGCUUUUUGCUGGAAGAGUCGUUAAGUGGGCAAUGCACAGUAAAUAAAAGAGUUUAUUUUAGCACUGGGGCUCUGCAAGGUCUGCAAAAUGCAGUCAUUAGAUGGAAGUGGUCCUUGCUGCCGAUACUCCUGUUAGAGUUGGAAUGAAGUAAGGCUCUUUAGGGCUCUGUGGCCACCAGUUCACUCUCAGAUGAGUACCUUUGAAAAGACGAGCAAUCUAGAAGCAAAAGAGCCUCAGAGCUCUGAGGUUGGUCCCAUUCACCUCGGUCCCGUAGAUGCCCUCUGAGCCCACCAAAACCUGCCCUAGCCAGGAUGGCUGGAAAACAGCCCUCUAUGUGCAUGCAGGAAAAUGGGAAACUGAAUUGAAUGGCAAAGGGAGAAAGGAGCUGGAGAAAAGCAUAGGACUACUGAGCACUGUUCGUGAAGAGUCUGAAGCUGUCCGAAGCCCCGAGUUGAUUUUCUUUCUGACAGUCUUAUGAUAUAAAGAUUACUCUUCCUUCAAGUAGUAAUAAUUUUCUUUGGAAGUGUAAUUGCAGCCAAAAAAAAAAAAAAAAAAAAAGCAAGUAAACAAAAAAGUGUCAUUUUGAAGUCUCCAGAACAAACGCUCUGAUUAACCUAAUCGGGCUCCUUUUCCUGAAUAUUUAACUAAUGAUUUUCUUGAGUUGUUAUUUUGUUCAAAUUCACGAUCAGAAACAUGAACAUUUUCCCAAAACAGAAAAAGAAGCCGGCUCUGAGAAAUCCCCCGGGCAGGAGUGGGGAAUGGAACUGCUGAUAGAUUUGUUUUCAUUAGGUACCUGAAUGCAUUACAAUAAUUAUGUCAGUUCGGAGCUUUUCCCAUCUGCAGCCCAGCCCUACAGCAAUUUGAUUAGAAAAUAAUAAUAAUAAUAAUAAAACAAAAAAACAAAAACACGAGGGGAACAGGCUGGAAAUAUGAAGACAAGGGACACUGAGCUUUACAAGUGCAAGGAAAUGAUGAAGCAGGUUCCUCAUUAUUCAGCAAUGGGCUUAAUUCAGAGCGCUUUCACAGGAACAAAAGCACACACUCGACAAUGAUUUGUAUGAUUUCUGUACUACCAUAUUCUGGGCAGGAAACCAACUCCUGCUAAAAAUGCUUCUUUGAGUGGUGCUGACUGGAAGCGCUCACAUAAUGCAGGCGCUAACAUCUGUGGGACUUCUUUUUCUCUUAAGGAUAUAGGUAAUGUUAUAGUGAAAUAAAAAUAAACUGUUUCAAAACUCAUCCCCACAGCAGAUGUGAUUGCAAUUGGUGAUGUAACAAUGCAGAGCCAUUUCUGGAGGUGGGUUCUUAAUGGGCAAGAGGGGGUCACCAUCAGCAAACUGCAUCCAUUGCAGGACACGGCUUUUGCAAAAGCCCCAUAUGAUCGUUUUUCUGAAGAAUCACCUUGAUGAAGAAGCCAAAGCCUCUUCAUUUGCACCAGGGGAGGUUCAGGGAGGAUAUUAGGUGUAAGGCAACUGUUAGAUCACAGCCUGAACCAGCAAUUGAGCAGCUGGUGAAGGCACGUGGCAAGCCCUGGCAGCACAGGUGGAAGCAAUUCACCUGUGUGAUUGGAAGGAGUGGACCCUGGGUUCACCCCCUCCCUAAACUCGUUUAAGGGCUGGCUGCCAAAAAAUGAGCCUCUCUGUUUAGAAAUCACCUUCUUGGGAGUUUCUAGUAAGCCACGGUCCUUGGAAAGGGGCCAGCAGCAUGGAGCAGUGCGAUGACUCAGUGAGUGACUCACAGUGCAGAGCCUGACCCAGCGCAUUGAAAGCCCAAGUGCUCCCAUCAGAUCAGCACUCCUCCUCCCCAGCCACCCUGGAGCAGCUCCUCGUGCCAUGCUCAGCACAGAGCCCUGUGGAUGUGCAUGGGGUGUAGGUGAGCGUUGGGUGCACUCUGCUCUGAGCACCCUCAGCUCAUGGCAGAAAUGCAGGUGGACCCAAACUGGAGGAGAUUCUCUUCUCUCUGGUGUAGGGAUGGUUGUCUGCUGCUUUGUCCCAAGAGAAAUAAAUACAGACAGCUGGGACACUGCUGGGUUCAUUGGGGAUUGUUGCAGUGUAACUACUCCUGAGUCACUACACUGAUCUAAAUUGCAUACGAUCCAGCCUAUGCUGCAGCCUACAUGUAAGGCUGGCUAAAACAUUUUUUAUUAUUGUCAUAAAUUGUUACAACUAAAUGCUGUUGUUAUGAGUCAGCACUGCCAGUGUGAUGGGGGGACAUCCCCUGAGAUGAUUUUUCUUUCAUUAGUGACUGAUUCUGAUUUUUGAAGAUAUAACAGAAUAAACCAUGGCCAUUUGUUUA